This 954-nucleotide ribosomal RNA is filed under the name Pseudoalteromonas sp. WH2010-6-F. RNAcentral's name for it is "bacterial SSU rRNA". It matches the Rfam family "Bacterial small subunit ribosomal RNA", at positions 54 to 1004 of the family's 1533-position model. The record is from RNAcentral. Lineage: Bacteria; Pseudomonadati; Pseudomonadota; Gammaproteobacteria; Alteromonadales; Pseudoalteromonadaceae.
CAUGCAAGUCGAGCGGUAACAGAAAGUAGCUUGCUACUUUGCUGACGAGCGGCGGACGGGUGAGUAAUGCUUGGGAACAUGCCUUGAGGUGGGGGACAACAGUUGGAAACGACUGCUAAUACCGCAUAAUGUCUACGGACCAAAGGGGGCUUCGGCUCUCGCCUUUAGAUUGGCCCAAGUGGGAUUAGCUAGUUGGUGAGGUAAUGGCUCACCAAGGCGACGAUCCCUAGCUGGUUUGAGAGGAUGAUCAGCCACACUGGGACUGAGACACGGCCCAGACUCCUACGGGAGGCAGCAGUGGGGAAUAUUGCACAAUGGGCGCAAGCCUGAUGCAGCCAUGCCGCGUGUGUGAAGAAGGCCUUCGGGUUGUAAAGCACUUUCAGUCAGGAGGAAAGGUUAACGGUUAAUACCCGUUAGCUGUGACGUUACUGACAGAAGAAGCACCGGCUAACUCCGUGCCAGCAGCCGCGGUAAUACGGAGGGUGCGAGCGUUAAUCGGAAUUACUGGGCGUAAAGCGUACGCAGGCGGUUUGUUAAGCGAGAUGUGAAAGCCCCGGGCUCAACCUGGGAACUGCAUUUCGAACUGGCAAACUAGAGUGUGAUAGAGGGUGGUAGAAUUUCAGGUGUAGCGGUGAAAUGCGUAGAGAUCUGAAGGAAUACCGAUGGCGAAGGCAGCCACCUGGGUCAACACUGACGCUCAUGUACGAAAGCGUGGGGAGCAAACGGGAUUAGAUACCCCGGUAGUCCACGCCGUAAACGAUGUCUACUAGAAGCUCGGAGCCUCGGUUCUGUUUUUCAAAGCUAACGCAUUAAGUAGACCGCCUGGGGAGUACGGCCGCAAGGUUAAAACUCAAAUGAAUUGACGGGGGCCCGCACAAGCGGUGGAGCAUGUGGUUUAAUUCGAUGCAACGCGAAGAACCUUACCUACACUUGACAUACAGAGAACUUACCAGA